GACGAACGCUGGCGGCGUGCUUAACACAUGCAAGUCGAACGGACUUAAGGGGCUUGCUUCUUAAGUUAGUGGCGCACGGGUGAGUAAUACAUCGGAACGUGCCCGAUCGUGGGGGAUAACGGAGCGAAAGCUUUGCUAAUACCGCAUACGAUCUACGGAUGAAAGCAGGGGACCGCAAGGCCUUGCGCGGACGGAGCGGCCGAUGGCAGAUUAGGUAGUUGGUGGGAUAAAAGCUUACCAAGCCGACGAUCUGUAGCUGGUCUGAGAGGACGACCAGCCACACUGGGACUGAGACACGGCCCAGACUCCUACGGGAGGCAGCAGCAAGGAAUCUUGGGCAAUGGGCGAAAGCCUGACCCAGCAACGCCGCGUGAGGGAUGAAGGCUUUCGGAUUGUAAACCUCUUUUCAUAGGGAAGAAU
This 420-nucleotide ribosomal RNA is filed under the name uncultured bacterium. Its description in RNAcentral is "bacterial SSU rRNA". It matches the Rfam family "Bacterial small subunit ribosomal RNA", at positions 28 to 450 of the family's 1533-position model. The record is from RNAcentral.